CGUGCACGGCAAGGUGUUGCGGGGGAUCCGCGAGAGGAACUGGCGGUUUAGCAUGACAAGAUUAGGGAGGUGAUUGUUAGCACUAAUCUUGUCAUGAUGUACCAGCAUGCAUGUUUAGUUUUGAGUUUGCAUGUAGUUUAGAUGAUCUAGGGCAGUGUAUGUAGGCCAAUGAUACUUCAGCUACGCGCGUGAAGAAAGCGAGAUGUCGGGCUGCCGUGCGAUGCGGUGAGCACGGCAAGAUGCCGAUGAUGUCGUGCGAUACGGCGAGGCUGUGAGAAGCAGCGAGACGCGACGAAGCUGGAGGAUGAUGGGCUGCUCGUUCAGGUUGAGCCGAGUGAUUUGGCCAAGCCGUAGUUAGUUAGAGUGUGCUGGUUGGUUGUAGCUAGCUAGCUUCGUGCAUGAAGUAGUAGGCCACGUUGAGACGUGGAGCUAGUUUUAGAUAUGGCCGAGUCGUGUGGCCGUUGGAGUGAUUUCAGGAGUAGGAUAAGGCUGUUAGUGCAUGCAUAGAUUAGUGGGAUUAGUUGCCGAGAGAGGUGGCUGGCCAGUGCGUGUAUGGUCCUUGUAUAUAUAUGUUUCAGUGGAGUAAUGAAGAGAGGAGGCCGAGAGGGCUGAGCAGAGAAACCAUGUAGCCAUUGUGGUUCACCAAGGGAGUGUCUCUGGCAAAGCCGUUCCUCUUCCUUGGUAUAUGCGUGCGUGUGUGUGUGUGUGUUCAUGAGAGAGUUCUUGAGAGAAAACACAAGAGAAUUGUGUGAGAGGGAGAAGAGAGUUGUGAGAGGCAACUCGAGGUAGAAGAAGGAGCGGCGCUGCGAGGAGGCGGCGCCAACAAUUGGCAUCAGAGCCUUGUUGAUCCGUGGCGGCGACGACGGUGCCGGCGGCUAUGGUGGCCGGCGUGGCGCUGGGCGCGAGGUGAUGGCUGGCAGCGGCGCGAUGCCGCGGGCGGCCGGUUGCGGUGCGAUGCCGCGAGAUGAAGGUGGUGCGAUGAUCGGCGUCGCGAGGACGUCAUCCACGACAAGAUGGUCCGUGGUGACCGGCGCUGCGACGGCGUCGGUUGUGGCGCGACGGACUUCAUGCGAGAUGGAGGCCGACGGCGCAAGAAGGAGGAUGGUGGCCAUGCGGUGCCGCUAUGUGAAGAUGGCGGUGCGAAGCUGCCACAAGAAGAGUCGGCGUGAUGCCGACGACGGUGGUGUGAUGCCAUCGUCAUCAUGGAAAGUUGGUGUGAAGCCAACAAAAGUUGCGGUGCGAUGCCGCUUGGCGAAGACGGCGUGGUGAUCGGCGCUGCGACAGCAUGGUCCACGUCGAGAGGAGGCCGCCACGAGCGGCAAGUCGGCAUGGUGACGGACGCUGUGAUGGGGUCGUCCACAACAAGAUGGUGCAUGGUGGUUGGCGCUGCGACGGCGUCGUGCACGGCAAGGUGUUGCGGGCGAUCCGCGAGAGGAACUGGCGGUUUAGCAUGACAAGAUUAGGGAGGUGAUUGUUAGCACUAAUCUUGUCAUGAUGUACCAGCAUGCAUGUUUAGUUUUGAGUUUGCAUGUAGUUUAGAUGAUCUAGGGCAGUGUAUGUAGGCCAAUGAUACUUCAGCUACGGGCGUGAAGAAAGCGAGAUGUCGGGCUGCCGUGCGAUGCGGUGAGCACGGCAAGAUGCCGAUGAUGUCGUGCGAUACGGCGAGGCUGUGAGAAGCAGCGAGACGCGACGAAGCUGGAGGAUGAUGGGCUGCUCGUUCAGGUUGAGCCGAGUGAUUUGGCCAAGCCGUAGUUAGUUAGAGUGUGCUGGUUGGUUGUAGCUAGCUAGCUUCGUGCAUGAAGUAGUAGGCCACGUUGAGACAUGGAGCUAGUUUUAGAUAUGGCCGAGUCGUGUGGCCGUUGGAGUGAUUUCAGGAGUAGGAUAAGGCUGUUAGUGCAUGCAUAGAUUAGUGGGAUUAGUUGCCGAGAGAGGUGGCUGGCCAGUGCGUGUAUGGUCCUUGUAUAUAUAUGUUUCAGUGGAGUAAUGAAGAGAGGAGGCCGAGAGGGCUGAGCAGAGAAACCAUGUAGCCAUUGUGGUUCACCAAGGGAGUGUCUCUGGCAAAGCCGUUCCUCUUCCUUGGUAUAUGCGUGCGUGUGUGUGUGUGUGUUCAUGAGAGAGUUCUUGAGAGAAAACACAAGAGAAUUGUGUGAGAGGGAGAAGAGAGUUGUGAGAGGCAACUCGAGGUAGAAGAAGGAGCGGCGCUGCGAGGAGGCGGCGCCAACAAUUGGCAUCAGAGCCUUGUUGAUCCGUGGCGGCGACGACGGUGCCGGCGGCUAUGGUGGCCGGCGUGGCGCUGGGCGCGAGGUGAUGGCUGGCAGCGGCGCGAUGCCGCGGGCGGCCGGUUGCGGUGCGAUGCCGCGAGAUGAAGGUGGUGCGAUGAUCGGCGUCGCGAGGACGUCAUCCACGACAAGAUGGUCCAUGGUGACCGGCGCUGCGACGGCGUCGGUUGUGGCGCGACGGACUUCAUGCGAGAUGGAGGCCGACGGCGCAAGAAGGAGGAUGGUGGCCAUGCGGUGCCGCUAUGUGAAGAUGGCGGUGCGAAGCUGCCACAAGAAGAGUCGGCGUGAUGCCGACGACGGUGGUGUGAUGCCAUCGUCAUCAUGGAAAGUUGGUGUGAAGCCAACAAAAGUUGCGGUGCGAUGCCGCUUGGCGAAGACGGCGUGGUGAUCGGCGCUGCGACAGCGUGGUCCACGUCGAGAGGAGGCCGCCACGAGCGGCAAGUCGGCAUGGUGACGGACGCUGUGAUGGGGUCGUCCACGACAAGAUGGUGCAUGGUGGUUGGCGCUGCGACGGCGUCGUGCACGGCAAGGUGUUGCGGGCGAUCCGCGAGAGGAACUUGCGGUUUAGCAUGACAAGAUUAGGGAGGUGAUUGUUAGCACUAAUCUUGUCAUGAUGUACCAGCAUGCAUGUUUAGUUUUGAGUUUGCAUGUAGUUUAGAUGAUCUAGGGCAGUGUAUGUAGGCCAAUGAUACUUCAGCUACGCGCGUGAAGAAAGCGAGAUGUCGGGCUGCCGUGCGAUGCGGUGAGCACGGCAAGAUGCCGAUGAUGUCGUGCGAUACGGCGAGGCUGUGAGAAGCAGCGAGACGCGACGAAGCUGGAGGAUGAUGGGCUGCUCGUUUAGGUUGAGCCGAGUGAUUUGGCCAAGCCGUAGUUAGUUAGAGUGUGCUGGUUGGUUGUAGCUAGCUAGCUUCGUGCAUGAAGUAGUAGGCCACGUUGAGACGUGGAGCUAGUUUUAGAUAUGGCCGAGUCGUGUGGCCGUUGGAGUGAUUUCAGGAGUAGGAUAAGGCUGUUAGUGCAUGCAUAGAUUAGUGGGAUUAGUUGCCGAGAGAGGUGGCUGGCCAGUGCGUGUAUGGUCCUUGUAUAUAUAUGUUUCAGUGGAGUAAUGAAGAGAGGAGGCCGAGAGGGCUGAGCAGAGAAACCAUGUAGCCAUUGUGGUUCACCAAGGGAGUGUCUCUGGCAAAGCCGUUCC
RNAcentral lists this long non-coding RNA (3468 nucleotides) under Triticum aestivum (bread wheat). RNAcentral's name for it is "long non-coding RNA (TAES_LNC001105)". The record is from RNAcentral. Lineage: Eukaryota; Viridiplantae; Streptophyta; Magnoliopsida; Poales; Poaceae.